This 200-nucleotide long non-coding RNA is filed under the name Nicotiana benthamiana. RNAcentral's name for it is "long non-coding RNA (NBEN_LNC000001)". The record is from RNAcentral. Lineage: Eukaryota; Viridiplantae; Streptophyta; Magnoliopsida; Solanales; Solanaceae.
GUCUGUCCCGUACUGCGGUCCUGCAUAAUAAACGAAUCAUCAAUAAAAUAUAUACCACAAUGUAGGGCACGAGUCAAACGACUAACAACAACAACAACAACAACAACCCAGUAUAAUCCCACUUAGUGGGGUCCGGAGAGGGUAGUAUGUACGCAGACCUUACCCCUAACCUUGGGUAGAGAGGCUGUUUCCAAAUAGAC